GUCAGGUGCAGUGGCAGGCGCCUGUAAUCCCAGAGGCUGGGGAGGCUGAGGCAGGAGGAUCACAAGUUCAAAACCAGCCUCAGCAAAAGCAAGGCAUUAAGCAACUCAGUGAGACCCUGUCUCUA
Molecule: small RNA, 125 nt
Filed under: Marmota monax (woodchuck)
Lineage: Eukaryota; Metazoa; Chordata; Mammalia; Rodentia; Sciuridae
Source: RNAcentral